GCGCCUCCAUCUUCACAGCAUGAAGGGUGCGGGAUGGGGCAGGAGACCGGAGGGAGUUGAGGUUUUGCACCCGAUAAGGAGACGCAUAAAGGGAACGGGUGGGGACACAGGGCCCCUGCAGCCUCAGGAGGAUCAGCAGUGGCCUGGUUUACUCGUGUCGUCAUUCGUCGUGGGCACCUUGUCCCCGGGGCCGGCCAGUUACUUGGCCUCCUGGCUCAUCAUCCUGCCGGAAGCAUCUCCAGCUUGGGGAUGUUGGAGGGUCCCUGGCCCCACCUGGCUGGGGAUGGAGUGUAAGCCGAGGAGAUGCCAUGUGAGGGUGCAGCGAGGAGUUGGGCUGUCUAAAAGCAAAGAAAGAGAUUGCAUCAGACACCGCAUCUGCUGACACCUUGUUCUUGGACUUCCAGCUUCCAAAACCGCGAGAAAUAAAUGUCUGUGUCUAAACCCCAACCCUACCACCUCAACUGCCGUGUGUGGUGUUUUGUGAUGGCAGCCCCAGCUGACUGAGACACCUGGUUAGACCGGAAUAAGCAGUACCUGAGUCCCUUAAGAGUGGCCAAAGAAGAAAGAAUCCACUGAGUUGACAUUCCAGUUCAGCUGCAAUCGGUAGCAGUCACCAUUGAACAUCCUUGAAGCAAUUCUUCCAAAAUUACCUUGCAUCAAAGACUGCACAAGAACUGCUCUAAGCGGAAGGACUGAUGUCGGCAACCAGGGUUCCACCAGGGGCUGCAGACAGCCCUUGACCUUCAGGUGGGAAGGUGUCACUGAGUUCAGACCCUCUGGCAAUCCCUAGCUAUCAACAUUUUGAUAAGAAAAUAAGUGGAAAGAAGUAACCAAAUUUACUCACGUAGGCCAGGAAUUUCUAUGACGUGUUCCAAAUUCAGCCUCUCACUGAACACUUCCAGAGCAAGGCAACAUAAACAUCUGCAAGAAGAACAUUGUGUGAGAAAUAUCAAGUGAGAGUGGAAGAGUCUGCGGAGGGCCUCCCUGGGGCUCACCUGUGCUUUUGCCUGAGCUUCACCGUGUCAAGCAAUGUAAAAUGAACCUGCUUCCCCUUCAUCUUCCACCAUGAUUAUAAGUUUC
This 1080-nucleotide long non-coding RNA is filed under the name Homo sapiens (human). RNAcentral describes it as "HSALNT0338186". Lineage: Eukaryota; Metazoa; Chordata; Mammalia; Primates; Hominidae. The record is from RNAcentral.